AUUGAACGCUGGCGGCAUGCCUUACACAUGCAAGUCGAACGGUAACAGGUCUUUCGGGAUGCUGACGAGUGGCGAACGGGUGAGUAAUACAUCGGAACGUGCCUAGUAGUGGGGGAUAACUACUCGAAAGAGUGGCUAAUACCGCAUGAGAUCUAUGGAUGAAAGCCGGGGACCUUUGGGCCUUGUGCUACUAGAGCGGCCGAUGGCAGAUUAGGUAGUUGGUGGGAUAAAAGCUUACCAAGCCUACGAUCUGUAGCUGGUCUGAGAGGACGAUCAGCCACACUGGGACUGAGACACGGCCCAGACUCCUACGGGAGGCAGAAGUGGGGAAUUUUGGACAAUGGGCGCAAGCCUGAUCCAGCAAUGCCGCGUGCAGGAUGAAGGCCUUCGGGUUGUAAAAUGCUUUUGUACGGAACGAAAAGUCUUGGGUUAAUACCCUGGGAUCAUGACGGUACCGUAAGAAUAAGCACCGGCUAACUACGUG
Molecule: ribosomal RNA, 484 nt
Filed under: uncultured bacterium
Lineage: Bacteria
Description: partial 16S ribosomal RNA
Rfam family: Bacterial small subunit ribosomal RNA
Source: RNAcentral